AGAGAAUGUACAUGUUAGGAUUUAAAAAAAAAAAAACUUUACAUUGAUAUUUUAACACUGGUGUCACAGUAUUUAAUAAAAUCUUGAAACUAAAUGAAAUGCGAGCACCUUUUACUUACUCCUCUGUGUGUGUUUUUUUUAGUUACUCAUGAUUAAAUGAUAUAUGAUCAUAAAAGGUCAAAAUAAACCUUACCAUUACUAUUGUAAUUAAGAUGCUGCCAAUACAAUGCAGACUUUGAUACCCAGUGAAACAUAAUAUGUAUUUUAUUUAACUAAAUGGAAAUGUCUGUAAGUAAUGCUGUGUAAAAGGGCAGAUGAGAGUUUUUUUUGCUGUUGUUGUUUUGUUUGUUUUUUUUUUUACAUUGAAUGAGGCCCUGCUUUCCUGCUGGAUAAGGCGGAGUGGCUGGACUUGGCACAACAGCAAGCAUUGGUCUCUUGUCUUGAGGAGAUCCUGUGCAAAAAGAAUAUGUCUGCAUACACAGCUUUAUCCAGAUCCUCACACACCAGCUUUGAGAUGCGAGACAGGACGUCUGUGACCGGACUCAGCUUCUCCUGAAGAUUUACACUGACGUCUACAGGAACUGAACCCAUCUGAGGGACCUCCACCAGCCUGGAGUCCUGCUCACACACACACACACACACACACACACACACACACACACACACACACACACACACACACACACACACACACACACACACACACACACACACACACACACACACACACACACACACACACACACACACACACACACA
Ictalurus punctatus (channel catfish) is the source of this 759-nucleotide long non-coding RNA. RefSeq lists it as uncharacterized. Lineage: Eukaryota; Metazoa; Chordata; Actinopteri; Siluriformes; Ictaluridae. The transcript has 2 exons. The record is from RefSeq and is a predicted model, not a curated record.